GUGGCUGUCCCUUGGAGUGGGCGGAGUGCCUUUUAUCACUGGCUGGCUCCAAGUCUGCAUCGUUUAUCUUAGCCAAAAAUAACCCGUGAUAGGAAUUAAUGCCAAAGAAAGGACCCCAUAAAAUAAACCCGUAGAAACCCUAAAAGAACAUUUUCAGGUGUUCUCCAUCAUAACAAACAGAAAAGGUAUAGCACAUAAAACCUAAAAAAGAGAACUUUAUCUCAGAAUGACUGAGAACAACGGAAUCAAAACUCAAAAUUGAAAGGUUACAAAAGAC
This 277-nucleotide unclassified non-coding RNA is filed under the name Hevea brasiliensis (rubber tree). The record is from RNAcentral. Lineage: Eukaryota; Viridiplantae; Streptophyta; Magnoliopsida; Malpighiales; Euphorbiaceae.